This 492-nucleotide ribosomal RNA is filed under the name uncultured bacterium. RNAcentral describes it as "partial 16S ribosomal RNA". It matches the Rfam family "Bacterial small subunit ribosomal RNA", at positions 29 to 507 of the family's 1533-position model. The record is from RNAcentral.
AGUGAACGCUGGCGGCAGGCCUAACACAUGCAAGUCGAACGGCCGCACAGUAAGCUUUUGCUCUUACGGGUGGCGAGUGGCGGACGGGUGAGGCAUACAUCGGAUUCUUCUUUUUCGUGGGGGAUUACGUAGGGCCACUUCCGCUACUACCUCAUACGUCCUACGGGUGAAAGCAGGGGUUCUUCGGACUUUUCGCGAUUCUUUUAGACGAUGUCGCAUUAGCUAGUUGGCUUGGUAAAGUCCCACCAAGGCAACGAUCCGUAGCUGGUCUGAGAGGAUGAUCAGCCACACUGGAACUGAGACACGGUCCAGACUCCUACGGGAGGCAGCAGUGGGGAAUAUUGGACAAUGGGCGAAAGCCUGAUGCAGCAACGCCGCGUGAGUGAAGAAGGCCUUCGGGUUGUAAAGCCCUGUUAUCAGGAAAGAAAAGCAGCGGAAGAAAACACCGCUGUUCUGACGGUACCCAAAGAAAAAGCACCGGCUAACUUCGUG